CCUACGGUGCGCUGCAGUGAGGAAUAUUGGUCAAUGGACGGAAGUCUGAACCAGCCAUGCCGCGUGCAGGAUGACGGCUCUAUGAGUUGUAAACUGCUUUUGUACGAGGGUAAACGCAGAUACGCGUAUCUGUCUGAAAGUAUCGUACGAAUAAGGAUCGGCUAACUCCGUGCCAGCAGCCGCGGUAAUACGGAGGAUUCAAGCGUUAUCCGGAUUUAUUGGGUUUAAAGGGUGCGUAGGCGGUCGGAUAAGUUAGAGGUGAAAUCCCGAGGCUCAACUUCGGAAUUGCCUCUGAUACUGUUCGGCUAGAGAGUAGUUGCGGUAGGCGGAAUGUAUGGUGUAGCGGUGAAAUGCUUAGAGAUCAUACAGAACACCGAUUGCGAAGGCAGCUUACCAAGCUACUUCUGACGUUGAGGCACGAAAGCGUGGGGAGCAAACAGGAUUAGAUACUCCGGUAGUC
This 460-nucleotide ribosomal RNA is filed under the name uncultured bacterium. RNAcentral describes it as "partial 16S ribosomal RNA". It matches the Rfam family "Bacterial small subunit ribosomal RNA", at positions 338 to 795 of the family's 1533-position model. The record is from RNAcentral.